GUAGGUGUGUGUUAACUUCCUGAGAGCGUUAUAAGCGUUAUAACAAGAGUUCAUUUUGUUCAAUAUUUAGUGUAGAUUCAGCAUACAUUGAGGAUAAAAUAUGUGUAGUAUAAAAAAGGGAAUAUGUGGUGUAUUAAACAUUAAAUUGUGUUUGAAAUAUGUUGUAAAGUAAUCACAUUUUGCUGAAUUUGACGAUGUCCUGAGGAUAAAGUAAUAGUGUUACAGCAUAAAAAAAGAUCUGAUAUGAGAGCUGGCAAAUGUGAGAAAAUCUGUCGGAAAGAAAUCUAGUAUUACUCAACACUGGUUUCUGUGCGAUUUUUUUUAAGUGUUAACAUAUGUGAUAGUUCGAUACAAUGUAUUUUGAGGUAAAUGAUAGUGCGAAAUGCGACAGUGUGUAAUUUCUGUUGCAAUACAUACGACAACCUCAUAGUUCAAAGCGUAGUGAGUGACGGAACAGAUUUCAACAUGUUUAAAAGGAUUAUUUUAUUAUAAAGUAUUGCGUCAGUUGCUAGCUG
Molecule: long non-coding RNA, 515 nt
Organism: Anopheles merus
Lineage: Eukaryota; Metazoa; Arthropoda; Insecta; Diptera; Culicidae
Exons: 3
Source: RefSeq, a predicted model, not a curated record